GUUUUAGCCAUAUAUAUAUAUACAAAAAUUAGAAUGAUACAAAGAAAAUUAGCAUGACUUCUGAACAAAGAUGACACAAAAAUUCGUGAAACAUCCCAUGUUUAU
This is a small nuclear RNA of Dromiciops gliroides (monito del monte), 105 nucleotides long. The record is from RefSeq and is a predicted model, not a curated record. Lineage: Eukaryota; Metazoa; Chordata; Mammalia; Microbiotheria; Microbiotheriidae.